GCUUUAACUGUGAUCAUUCACAAUAUAAUACCGUAUUUAGACUUUUACUGUGAAAAUAAUGCAGGCGCGGGGCUUUUACAAGAAACUACUGUGAAUGCCGUCUUUUUUGAGUGGCAACUGCGGCAGCGUCAUCAGAGCGUCAUCAGAGCUCUCUGAUCUACGUGGUCUCAUUCGGUGGAUUCAGACAGCGGUGCUUCUUGGGCAUCAACCCAGAGACGGGCACAAAAUCUAAGAGGCAGAGAGGUCACAUGAACCAGCAAGUCUGCACUCUUAUCAGGAAGCUCAUUGACUUCGAAUGGAUGUCAAUCUAAUUGGAUAGAACCCACACUAUGCAGGUGCCAGCUGCGAGGGAAGGAGAGAGACACCUGCGACCCUCUCUAUUCCCACCUUUUUGUCUUUUCUUACAUCUCUCUCCCUCACUCUCUCUUCUCUGUCUCCUUCUUUCUCUUUUGACACACAUUCCUGUUACCCAGUGUCAAUCCCUGUUGCCCAGUGUUUUAUUCAUGUAAUUAAAUUGUAUUUUACUUCUAAAAAAUAAAAGUUAUGUCACUGUUUUUAUCA
Molecule: long non-coding RNA, 561 nt
Organism: Carassius gibelio (silver crucian carp)
Lineage: Eukaryota; Metazoa; Chordata; Actinopteri; Cypriniformes; Cyprinidae
Exons: 3
Source: RefSeq, a predicted model, not a curated record